Molecule: non-coding RNA, 29 nt
Filed under: Rattus norvegicus (Norway rat)
Lineage: Eukaryota; Metazoa; Chordata; Mammalia; Rodentia; Muridae
Source: RNAcentral
UAUGACUAGGAUUUUCCACACCUUGGCAU